CCUACGGGUGGCAGCAGUGGGGAAUAUUGGGCAAUGGGCGCAAGCCUGACCCCGCAACGCCGCGUGAAGGAAGAAGGCUUUCGGGUUGUAAAAUUCUUUUGUCAGGGACGAAGCAAGUGACGGUACCUGACGAAUAAGCCACGGCUAACUACGUGCCAGCGGCCGCGGUAAUACGUAGGUGGCAAGCGUUAUGCGGAUGUAUUGGGUGGAAAGGGCGUGUAGGCGGGAAUGCAAGUCAGAUGUGAAAACUAUGGUCUCAACCCAGGGCCUGCAGUUGAAACUGUAGUGCUUGAGUGCUGGGGAGGCAGGCGGAAUUCGGGGUGUAGCGGGGAAAUGCGUAGAGAUACGGAGGAACACCAGUUGCGAAGGCAGAUUGCCGGACAGUAACUGACGCUGAGGCGCGAAAGCGUGGGGAGCAAACAGGAUUAGAUACCCUGGUAGUC
RNAcentral lists this ribosomal RNA (443 nucleotides) under uncultured bacterium. RNAcentral describes it as "partial 16S ribosomal RNA". It matches the Rfam family "Bacterial small subunit ribosomal RNA", at positions 338 to 795 of the family's 1533-position model. The record is from RNAcentral.